This 86-nucleotide transfer RNA is filed under the name candidate division WWE3 bacterium RIFCSPHIGHO2_01_FULL_43_9. RNAcentral describes it as "tRNA-Tyr". It matches the Rfam family "tRNA". From Rfam's summary of the family: Transfer RNA (tRNA) molecules are approximately 80 nucleotides in length. Their secondary structure includes four short double-helical elements and three loops (D, anti-codon, and T loops). Further hydrogen bonds mediate the characteristic L-shaped molecular structure. tRNAs have two regions of fundamental functional importance: the anti-codon, which is responsible for specific mRNA codon recognition, and the 3' end, to which the tRNAs corresponding amino acid is attached (by aminoacyl-tRNA synthetases). tRNAs cope with the degeneracy of the genetic code in two manners: having more than one tRNA (with a specific anti-codon) for a particular amino acid; and 'wobble' base-pairing, i.e. permitting non-standard base-pairing at the 3rd anti-codon position. RNAcentral also lists the same sequence under 1 other name. The record is from RNAcentral. Lineage: Bacteria; candidate division WWE3.
GCCGAGGUACCGAAGCGGCCAAACGGAGCAGUCUGUAAAACUGUUGGCGGAAGCCUACAUAGGUUCGAAUCCUAUCCUCGGCACCA